This 178-nucleotide ribosomal RNA is filed under the name uncultured bacterium. RNAcentral describes it as "partial 16S ribosomal RNA". It matches the Rfam family "Bacterial small subunit ribosomal RNA", at positions 325 to 498 of the family's 1533-position model. The record is from RNAcentral.
CACGGGGGUACUCUACGGGAGGCAGCAGUGGGGAAUAUUGGACAAUGGGCGAAAGCCUGAUCCAGCCAUGCCGCGUGUGUGAAGAAGGUCUUCGGAUUGUAAAGCACUUUAAGUUGGGAGGAAGGGUUGUAGAUUAAUACGUUGCUGUUUUGACGUUACCGACAGAAUAAGCACGGCU